Molecule: ribosomal RNA, 357 nt
Filed under: uncultured bacterium
Lineage: Bacteria
Description: bacterial SSU rRNA
Rfam family: Bacterial small subunit ribosomal RNA
Source: RNAcentral
GAGUUUUGAUCCUGGCUCAGGAUGAACGCUAGCUACAGGCUUAACACAUGCAAGUCGAGGGGAAACGACAUCGAAAGCUUGUCUUUUGAUGGGCGUCGACCGACGUACGGGUGAGUAACGCGUAUCCAACCUGCCCACCACUUGGGGAUAACCUUGCGAAAGUAAGACUAAUACCCAAUGAUAUCUCUAGAAGACAUCUGAAAGAGAUUAAAGAUUUAUCGGUGAUGGAUGGGGAUGCGUCUGAUUAGCUUGUUGGCGGGGUAACGGCCCACCAAGGCAACGAUCAGUAGGGGUUCUGAGAGGAAGGUCCCCCACAUUGGAACUGAGACACGGUCCAAACUCCUACAGGAGGCAGCA